AAUCUUUCCUUGCAGCCCCAGGCCUCAUGGAGGACAGAUGGGGGCUAGGAGGGUCAAGGGUGAUGGAUCGGGGUGCCAGGGAAAGUGGGGUAACCAGCUGAGAAGGGGAUUGGCCGCACCAGUAUAGACCUUCAUGCAGUCUGUAGAUGAAUUUCUUUCAAGGUGUGGGGGGCAGGUAGGGUACAGGAUUACAGGGAGCCAAAGGAGAAAAAGCAAAUAUGAUCCGUGUCAUUUAUUUUUGCCCAAGUUCCAGCUGGGUAGCAGCCAAGAAGUUCACAGAGGGCUUCGGACUUGCUCCUUCACAUCAGAACCCGUUUAUCUCCUCGUGGUGUACAAAGGAAUGAGGAAGAGGAGGAGAACAAGGAAAGAGAGGAAGAAAGAGAAAGGGAGAGGAGGAAGAAGAAGGUGUUUCAGCUGUGAAUGUAGGAGAAGCGCUUCUUUAUACCUGCCAUCUCAGUGCCAAGAAUUCGAAGCUCAGUUGCUCGGCCCCAAAGGACCAGACGGAGGGAAACCUGAGUUUUGAAGAUCAAGCCCAGCACCAUCUCUCUGGAGCCACUACCCACUUAGAUGCCCAUUUGGCAGUUAUGGCUUCUUGGUCUUGGACACAGUUGUGCUCCACACCUGGGCCUUAAAACCUUUAGUUCAACCACGUGCUCAGCCAUUUUUUCCAGAAUGAUGCUCUGGCAGAAGAGUUAGAUUUAGGAAAGCC
This 709-nucleotide long non-coding RNA is filed under the name Equus caballus (horse). Its description in RNAcentral is "lncRNA (ENSECAG00000034795.2)". Lineage: Eukaryota; Metazoa; Chordata; Mammalia; Perissodactyla; Equidae. The record is from RNAcentral.